UACAGAGGGGGCAAGCGUUGUUCGGAAUUACUGGGCGUAAAGGGCGCGUAGGCGGCCUUCUAAGUCGAACGUGAAAUCCCCGGGCUCAACCCGGGAACUGCGUCCGAUACUGGAAGGCUUGAAUUCGGGAGAGGGAUGCGGAAUUCCAGGUGUAGCGGUGAAAUGCGUAGAUAUCUGGAAGAACACCGGUGGCGAAGGCGGCAUCCUGGACCGGCAUUGACGCUGAGGCGCGAAAGCCAGGGGAGCAAACGGG
RNAcentral lists this ribosomal RNA (253 nucleotides) under uncultured bacterium. RNAcentral describes it as "partial 16S ribosomal RNA". It matches the Rfam family "Bacterial small subunit ribosomal RNA", at positions 524 to 776 of the family's 1533-position model. The record is from RNAcentral.